AAUAGAUGACGCCGUUGACUUUUUCCCACAUGUUUGACCAUUCGUCUUAUUCAAAAAAUUUACGUAAUUAUAAUUUAUUUUGUUAUGAGUUGUUUUAUUACUCAUAGUAAUUUAAGUGUGAUUUAUAUAUUAUAUAUUUGUAAAAAAAAUGAAUAAGACGAAUGGUUAAACAUGUGAGAAAAAGUCAACGACGUCAUCUAUU
Non-coding RNA from Oryza glaberrima (African rice), 202 nucleotides. The record is from Rfam. Lineage: Eukaryota; Viridiplantae; Streptophyta; Magnoliopsida; Poales; Poaceae.